CCUACGGGAGGCAGCAGUGAGGAAUAUUGGUCAAUGGGCGAGAGCCUGAACCAGCCAAGUCGCGUGAAGGAUGACGGCCCUACGGGUUGUAAACUCCUUUUGUCAGGGAGCAAUUGGGUCCACGCGUGGGCUUAGCGAGAGUACCUGACGAAAAAGCAUCGGCUAACUCCGUGCCAGCAGCCGAGGUAAUACGGAGGAUGCGAGCGUUAUCGGGAUUUAUUGGGUUUAAAGGGUGCGUAGGCGGACUAUCAAGUCAGCGGUAAAAAGUCGGGGCUAAACUCCGUCGUGCCGUUGAAACUGGUGUUCUAGAGUGGGCGAGAGGUGUGCGGAAUGCGUGGUGUAGCGGUGAAAUGCGUAGAGAUCAGGAAGAACACCGAUUGCGAAGGCAGCAUCCCGGCG
RNAcentral lists this ribosomal RNA (399 nucleotides) under uncultured bacterium. RNAcentral's name for it is "partial 16S ribosomal RNA". It matches the Rfam family "Bacterial small subunit ribosomal RNA", at positions 338 to 734 of the family's 1533-position model. The record is from RNAcentral.